UGGUGGAGUGAUUUGUCUGGUUAAUUCCGUUAACGAACGAGACCUCGACCUGCUAAAUAGUUCGCCGAACCCCCAGUUUCGUGCGCGACUUCUUAGAGGGACUAUCGGUUCGUAGCCGAUGGAAGUUCGAGGCAAUAACA
RNAcentral lists this ribosomal RNA (140 nucleotides) under uncultured eukaryote. RNAcentral describes it as "partial 18S ribosomal RNA". It matches the Rfam family "Eukaryotic small subunit ribosomal RNA", at positions 1299 to 1458 of the family's 1831-position model. The record is from RNAcentral.